UGAGCUGGGUUCAGACCGUCGUGAGACAGGUCGGUCUCUAUCCGCUGUAGGCGUUGGGAAUUUGAGAGGAGCUGCCCCUAGUACGAGAGGACCGGGGUGGACGAAGCGCUCGUGUGCCAGUUGUCGUGCCAACGGCAUCGCUGGGUAGCGACCUUCGGCAGGGAUAACCGCUGAAAGCAUCUAAGUGGGAAGCCCACCUCAAGACGAGAUUCCCCAUCCCUAUAAGGGAGUAAGACCGCUGGAAGACGACCAGCUAGAUAGGCGGGAGGUGGAAGCGCAGCAAUGUGUGUAGCUGACCCGUACUAAUGGUCGAGGGCUUUUAACUG
Molecule: ribosomal RNA, 326 nt
Filed under: Anaerolineae bacterium
Lineage: Bacteria; Bacillati; Chloroflexota; Anaerolineae
Description: partial 23S ribosomal RNA
Rfam family: Bacterial large subunit ribosomal RNA
Source: RNAcentral